AACUUGAGAGUUUGAUCCUGGCUCAGAACGAACGCUGGCGGCAGGCUUAACACAUGCAAGUCGAGCGCCCCGCAAGGGGAGCGGCAGACGGGUGAGUAACGCGUGGGAAUCUACCCAUCUCUACGGAACAACUCCGGGAAACUGGAGCUAAUACCGUAUACGUCCUUCGGGAGAAAGAUUUAUCGGAGAUGGAUGAGCCCGCGUUGGAUUAGCUAGUUGGUGGGGUAAUGGCCUACCAAGGCGACGAUCCAUAGCUGGUCUGAGAGGAUGAUCAGCCACACUGGGACUGAGACACGGCCCAGACUCCUACGGGAGGCAGCAGUGGGGAAUAUUGGACAAUGGGCGCAAGCCUGAUCCAGCCA
Molecule: ribosomal RNA, 362 nt
Filed under: Hyphomicrobiales bacterium
Lineage: Bacteria; Pseudomonadati; Pseudomonadota; Alphaproteobacteria; Hyphomicrobiales
Description: bacterial SSU rRNA
Rfam family: Bacterial small subunit ribosomal RNA
Source: RNAcentral